RNAcentral lists this ribosomal RNA (444 nucleotides) under uncultured prokaryote. Its description in RNAcentral is "bacterial SSU rRNA". It matches the Rfam family "Bacterial small subunit ribosomal RNA", at positions 355 to 796 of the family's 1533-position model. The record is from RNAcentral.
UGAGGAAUAUUGGACAAUGGAGGCAACUCUGAUCCAGCCAUGCCGCGUGUAGGAAGACUGCCCUAUGGGUUGUAAACUACUUUUAUACAGGAAGAAUAAGGCCUACGUGUAGGCUGAUGACGGUACUGUAAGAAUAAGCACCGGCUAACUCCGUGCCAGCAGCCGCGGUAAUACGGAGGGUGCAAGCGUUAUCCGGAAUCAUUGGGUUUAAAGGGUCCGUAGGCGGGUAAUUAAGUCAGAGGUGAAAGUUUGCGGCUCAACCGUAAAAUUGCCUUUGAUACUGGUUAUCUUGAAUUAUUGUGAAGUGGUUAGAAUAAGUAGUGUAGCGGUGAAAUGCUUAGAUAUUACUUAGAAUACCGAUUGCGAAGGCAGAUCACUAACAAUAUAUUGACGCUGAUGGACGAAAGCGUAGGUAGCGAACAGGAUUAGAUACCCCCGUAGUCC